GAACCCUAAUCCCUUUUCCCUCGCGCCCCCUCUCCCUCUGCCACUCGCGCUCGACGCCGCUGCCGCCACCGCGUCGGCGGCGGCGGCGCGCACCGGUGCCUCGCCAAGUUUCACGUCGACGCCCGAGGACCAGAUCGAGCCGGGACGCCCUCGAAGCGUCACCACCAACUGUCUUCUCCGCCACGGUCGUCGCCGCCUCUCCGCUCGAUUCGCCGCCUACGAGCCUCCCCCGAGCCCGCUGCCCUCCCCUACAGAUUCGCCGUGAGCUCCUCCUCCGAAUCCUCCUCAUCCCUGUCUCGAUCCGUCACCGUAGUCUCCUGUACGAACCAGCGGCCGCCAUGGCCGAAGCUCAGCAUACGCGUACGCGCCCCUGCUUGGCUCUGCGCUCGUGCUGCUCCUGUGUGCUCCUUCUGCGGGCCGCGCCCCGUGCCCGCCCGCGGCCGCUGCUGCUCCUACUGAUGUGCGUCUGCUGCCCUGCGCCUCGCCCGCGCGUGUGCCCGCCGCGGCCUAGCAGCGUCCGGCCGCGCUGCUGCCGGUUACUGUAACUGCUGAUGCUGCUUGCUGCCCGCUAGUCACUGAUGCUCUGCUGCGCUGCUGCUGCCGCGUUGAGCUGCUGCCGCUGCUGCUCAACCACGUUGAGCUCACGCGAGGCCAUGGCAAACACAACCCGAUGGCUGGCUAUGUCCCUGCUAUGUAUGGCCGGCCCUUUGUAAUUAGCGUAUGUGUGUGUUCUGUGUGUGUGAGGCCGGCCCCUAUUCAAUUAGUUUAGGGUUAAUUAUUACUGUUAGAUUAGCUACUACCCUAUGGCAGGUGGACCCCUUCCUCUAAAUUUCCACUUAAAAAGAAAAUGCUAAAAUAUGUGUGAAUGACACCUGGGUCCCAUUGGUCCCAUUGACCAGUCAAACUGCUGACUCGGAUAACCCAGUCAAUGACAUCCGGGUCCCCUGGGCCCUUUGACUAGUCAACGGUCUUAGUUGAGUGCUGACUAGGCAGUCAACUGGACCCCACCUGCCAGCCACUAAUGCCACUGCCGUGUACACUUAGCAAUUAUGUAUUAAUUUAUUUUCGAAUUAAAAUAAUUUCAAAAAAUUAGAAAAUCAUUUAAAAAUUUAAAAAUUCAUAGAAAAUAAUCCGUAAUUUGGAUGAAAAAGUUUUCUACAUGAAAGUUGCUCAGAACGACGAGAUGAAUCUAAAUACGUGAUCUGUUCGUCCGCCACAUGUCUCUAGCAUAGCGAACAUGCAACCUUUCCCCUCCGGUUUGUCUGUCCGAAAAUGCCUAACUCCGGGAAAACUUUCUUGGAUGUUAUAUUUCUUCCCCGGUAUCGCGUAGCACUGCGUUAGAACACCUCUAGCACCAUUUUUUUAUCUUGUCAUGCUUAGUAUUGUGCUUGUUUGCCGUGUAUUUAUUGUUUCUUCCCCUCUUCUCUCCGGUAGACCUCGAGACUGAUGCUGCCGCCGAGUAUGACUGCGCCCUGACAAUCAGUACUUUUUAGCAGAGCUUCCAGGAAGCCCCCCUUUGAUCAUCCCAAUAUCGACCAUUCCAUUCUCUCAUGCUUGCAUUAGAUUUUGCUACUGUAAUUGAUUGCUCCUAUUCUGAUGCAUAGCCUGCUUUUGUACCUGUUGUUGUACCUUACCUGCUUAUCCUAAACUGCUCAAUAUAGGUUGGCUAGUGAUCCAUCACUGACCCCCACCUUUUCCUUGUUGCCCUUGCUUCGUCAUCAACGACUCGAUCUACGUGAUCGACGACCAGAGCCCGGCACCUCACAUCAUAUCACGCCCUUUAGUUGCUCGACUCUGCAGAGUUAUCAUCGAGUGCCGAGGGUGACACCUCAUACAUCACUCCUGAUGAGAUCUCUGUAGUGUAGCUAUUCGGUCGUGGUCAACAAGGAUGGUUCCUCCUUCACCAUUCCCGAUACGGCUCUGUCGUGCAACCCCUCAAGUGUGAACCUCGAGGGUGGUUCCUCUUACGUUCACCUUGAUGAUUACAUUGAGUGGAAUCCAUCGUGGGUGAUUCCUCGGGUUUUCCCCUUGAUGUUUGAGCACGCGGUUACCUUGAUUUUACUUGAGACCUUGGUGGAAGUCGGGCGGGCUCGGAUAGCACCCGCAAGAUGGUUACAAGGCAUGGCCGGGCAGGCCGCCCCCGAGUCAGCUGGGCUAGCCCUUGCCGUAUUUCCUCAAGACGGGGCGACGGGGUCACCUUAUCGUGAGUCUCUGCUCGUCUCCGCAAGCUAAUAAUACAUUAUGGUUUGGAUAUUUGUUCUGAGAUGGCCUUUAUGCACUAACCACCACGCGAGAAUAGUUAUGGGCCUCGACAUCGUAGUAUCAGCCGAAGCUUUGUCAGACGUCCAGUUCAGCGUCGUGGGCCUGUCGGGCCAGUGCCAUCUAGUAUGAGGUGGUGCUCAUCCCGGCUUGUCGCACAACGACCCGGAGUACUGCGGGCGAUGGGCCCAAGACCCCGGAGUGCUUAGGAUGUAGAUCGGCAGGGACCUCUCUGCUGAGCCUAGGUAGGGCUAUGAUGUGUUGACCUUCAGAGGCCGGGCAUUGGCCCCAGAAAGGUGUGUCCGGCCAGAGUGAUCAAGCGUGUUGGGUAACGUGGUGCACCCCUGCAGGGAAGAUUAUCUGUUAAUAGCUGUGUCCACGGUAACGGACGUUCAGACUUAUAUCUUGAUCUUAUACAACUACAAAUGGAUACUUGAGAUAUGUGGCUCCGAGAUUGCUUUCCCGCAGGGAGUCGGGGAAGGAUCUCUGGGCAUUAAUAUUACAACAUAUUUGUUAAUUAAACUUCUAUUCUUACUCUCCUACAUGCUGGGAACCUAUAGAAGUUUCCCAAAACCGGGAGCGCUGGAACGGUUAAACGGGCCGGCCCGUUGCCUCGCUGCUCGGUCGCUCGUCUGUGCGAAGCGCCGGCAGUUUGACGCAACGAGCGGCAUAUAGGAUUUCCCAACACCGAUGGCCGCCACGGCACCGGCCAUCGCCGUGGCGACUACCCCGGCGACCUGGGCGCCUAUAAGACCUACCUCGUCGCCUCCCUCGCGCCACCGAACCCUAAUCCCUUUUCCCUCGCGCCCCCUCUCCCUCUGCAACUCGCGCCCGACGCCGCUGCCGUCACCGCGUCGUCGUCGUCGCCGUGCACCGGUGCCUCCCCAAGUUUCACGUCGACGUCCAGGAGGUCCGCGGCGGCUGGCUUCGUCCGUCCCGAGGACCAGAUCGAGCCGGGACGCCCUUGAAACGUCGCCACCAAAUGUCUUCUCCACCACGGUCGUCGCCGCCUCUCCGCUUGAUUCGCCGCCUACGAGCCUCCCCCGAGCCCGCUGCCCUCCCCUACAGAUUCGCCGUGAGCUCCUCCUCCAAAUCCCCCUCAUACCUGUCUCGAUCCGUCACUGUAGUCUCCUGUACGAACCAGCGGCCGCCAUGGCAGAAGCUCAGCAUACGCGUACGCGCCCCUGCUUGGUUCUGCGCUCGUGCUGCUCCUGUGUGCUCCUUCUGCGGGCCGCGCCCCGCGCCCGCCCGCGGCCGCUGCUGCUCCUACUGUUGUGCGUAUGCUGCCCUGCGCCUCGCCCACGCGUGUGCCCGCCGUGGCCUAGCAGCGCCCGGCCGCGCUGCUGCCGGAUACUGCUUCUGCUGUAUCGCUGCCUCUGCUGCCCGUAACUGCUGAUGCUGCUUGCUGCCCGCUAGUCGCUGAUGCUCUGCCGCGUUGAGCUGCUGCCGCUGCUGCUCAACCACGUUGAGCUCACGCGAGGCCAUGGCAAACACAACCCGAUGGCUGGCUAUGUCCCUGCUAUGUAUGGAUGGCCCUUUGUAAUUAGUGUACUACUCCCUCCGUUCCGAUUUACUCGUCGUGGUUUUAGUUUAGUUUUGAACUAAAACCACGACGAGUAAAUCGGAACGGAGGGAGUAGAUCAUAAAGGCGCGCGUUGCCGCGCCCAUCCAUUUGAAUAGAAAAUCCAGAAUUGUAAAAAUACCUGUUGGAAUUUGCACAGUACAAAUAUCUAGGAAAUAUGAGUGCUUAAAAUUGCAACACCUAAAAUCCUACAUGUCAUCAAUAAUCUCUACAUUAACCAAGGAGCAAUUACAUAAAAUAAUUCAGAGGUAAAGAAACAAUCAAAUGUAGAAUAUAGAGCUUGCUAACAUAAGUAGUAAAAAUGGUUUCAAGGAGCGUAGUUUAACAAAAGAAAUGGGCACACGUAAUCUGUUUCUAAAUUUGCAUAUAACCAAUAAAGCUAAUGCAUGAAUAUCAUGUAAGGAACUGUGCGUAGUACCUGAACUUCCCAAUCUUGCAAAUUAAACUUCCUAGCUAUGCCAUUGCGUCAAGUAAAUAGCUAAGAUUUCAGCCUUCACGAUUGAUGUCCAAAGUGAAAGAAUCUGGUACAAAAUGAGAAAAUCAACAUUAAAACCGGAGAUUGCAGAUCAGAUAAGGGCCGUCAAGAGGAUACAGGAAUAGCAGGAUCGUCUAAUCUCUGCAAUGACGAUGGUAUGGACUUUGUAAGACGAAUGGCGUUUAGGGAGCAACGUGGGACGCCGACAACUUUCACAGCAAUACCUUCGAAAUAGGUGAAGUCGCUGGGAAAGGUACUCAGGUCACUUGUUACACAGGGGGGCAGGAGCAUAGCGCAACCUUCCAGUGCGUCGAUGGUAAGCCUGAACGCCGUGGGCCGCUGCGUCGGGUUUGGACCAACUCUACAUGAUUGUGCAUCGCCUCCGCCUGUUACUCCUUUCCACCUUGGUUACUCCUUUCCACCUUGCCAGAGAAAGAAGCAACGUCGAUGCCGUGGCCGUUGCCACCGGCAUAUAAGAUGGGAAUCUCACUGGAUAACGCAUCAUGAUUGCCUAGGGCACCAUCACCACAGUAGGGAGAAAGCGGAGCAGGAAAGAGAAGGUUAGCGGCGUACCACUAAAAGCCAACUCGCCGCUGGUGCGCUGUCGUCCUCUUUUGCCACGGUCCUCUAUUGAAUCUCCUCCUUCCGCACCGCCGCCGUAUCAGAGUCAUCGCCCAUCACAGACCUUUUCCUUUUUUUUUUGAGAGCAGCCCAGCACUGACUAACGGACCCGGAUCGAUCCCGGCUAACCACAGGCCACCAUAGUGGAUCUGCGGAGUAGCGGCCCGGCUACCGUGGGCCGAGCGGAUCGCGAGACUGCCGCGUUGACAAAUUGCUACAAGUGAUCGCAAGCAUGACCAGGAGAUCUAAAUCAUGAUCCUCAAAAAAAAAAGGAGAUCUAAAUCAUUCGUUAGUGUGAUACGACGGCUAUGGACAUCAAACCGCUGUGAGAGGGCGUAGCUAGCGGACGAGGCUCCUCUGACGUACUGCAGGGUGCAGUUGGGCCACUGACAGGUGGGCCCGAAAACAAGUUGGCCCACCUGUCAGCGACCCAACUGCACCCUGCAGUACGUCAGGGAAGCCGAGUCCGUAGCUAGCCCCGAUUUACUGUUUCUCAAUGUGUGUGUUCUGUGUGUGUGAGGCCGGCCCCUAUUCAAUUAGUUUAGGGUUAAUUAUUACUAGUUAGAUUAGCUACUACCCUAUGGCAGGUGGACCCCCUCCUCUAAAUUUCCACUUAAAAAAAUGCUAAAAUAUGUGUGAAUGACACCUGGGUCCCACUGGUCCCAUUGACCAGUCAAACUGCUGAAUGGGAUAACCCAGUCAAUGACAUCCGGGUCCCCUGGGCCCCCACCUGCCAGCCACUAAAUCCACUGCCGUGUACGCUUCUCUAUGUACACUUAGCAAUUACAUAUUAAUUUGUUUUCGAAUUAAAAUAAUUCCAGAAAAUUAGAAAAUCAUUUAAAAAUUUAAAAAUUCAUAGAAAAUAAUCCGUAACUCGAAUGAAAAAGUUUUCUACAUGAAAGUUGCUCAGAACGACGAGAUGAAUCUAAAUACGCGAUCUGUUCGUCCGCCACACGUCUCUAGCAUAGCGAACAUGCAACAUUUUCCCUCCGGUUCGUCUGUCCGAAAAUACCUAACUCGGGGAAAACUUUCUUGGAUGUUAUCCCUCUUCCCCGGUAUUGAAAAGCACUGCGUUAGAACACCUCUAGCACCAUUUUUUCUGUCUUGUCAUGCUUAGUAUUGUGCUUGUUUGACGUGUAUUUACUGUUUCUUCCCCUCUUCUCUCCGGUAGACCUCGAGACUGACGUUGCCGCCGAGGACGACUACGCUCUGACGAUCAGUACUUUUCAGCAGAGCUUCCAGGCAAGCCCCCCCUUUGAUCAUCCCGAUAUCGCCCAUUCCAUUCUCUCAUGCUUGCAUUAGAUUUUGCUACUGUAAUUGAUUGCUCCUAUUCUGAUGCAUAGCAUGCUUUAGUACCUGUUGUUGUACCUUACCUGCUUAUCCUAAAUUGCUUAGUAUAGGUUGGCAAGUGAUCCAUCAGUGAUCCCCACCUUGAUUGCUCCUAUUCUGAUGCAUAACAUGCUUUAGUACCUGUUGUUGUACCUUACCUGCUUAUCCUAAACUGCUUAGUAUAGGUUGGCAAGUGAUCCAUCAGUGAUCCCCACCUUGUCUUUGUUGCCCUUGCUUCGUCAUCAACGACUCGAUCGACGUGAUCGACGACCAGAGCCUGGCACCUCACAUCACAUCACGCCCUUUUGUUGCUCGACUCUGCAGAGUUACCAUCGAGUGCCGAGCGUGACACCUCAUACAUCACUCUUGAUGAGAUCUCUGUAGUGUAGCUAUUCGGUCGUGGUCAAUGAGGGUGGUUCCUCCUUCACCAUUCCCGAUACGGAUCUGUCGUGCAACCCCUCAAGUGUGAACCUCGAGGGUGGUUCCUCUUACGUUCACCUUGAUCAUUACAUUGAGUGGAAUCCACAAUGGGUUAUUCCUCGGGUUUUUCCCUUGAUAUUUGAACACACGGUUACCUUGACUUUACUUGAGACCUUGGUGGAAGUCGGGCGGGCUCGGAGAGCACCCGCAAGAUGGUUACGAAGCACGGCCAGGCAGGCAGGCCGCCCCCGAGUGGGCUGGGCUAGCCCUUGCCAUAUUUCCUCGAGACGGGGCGACGGGGUCACCUUAUCAUGAGUCUCUGCUCAUCUCCGCAAGCUAAUAAUACACUAUGGUUUGGAUAUUUGUUCUGAGUUGGCAUUUGGCCUUUACGCACUAACCACCACGCGAGAAUAGUUAUGGGUCUCGACGUCGUAGUAUCAGCCGAAGCUUUGUUAGACGUCCAGUUCAGCAUCGUGGGCCUGCCAGGCCAGUGCCAUCUAGUAUGAGGUGGUGCUCGUCUCGGCUCGUCGCACAACGACCCGGAGUACUGCGGGCGAAUGGCCCAAGACCCCAGAGUGCUUAGGAUGUAGACCGGCAGGGACCUCUCUGCUGAGCCUAGGUAGGGCUGCGAUGUGUUGAUCUUUCGAGGCCGGGCAUUGACCCCAGAAAGGUGUGUCUGGCCAGAGUGAUCGAGUGUAUUGGGUAACGUGGUGCAUCCCUGCAGGGAAGAUUAUCUAUUGAUAGCCGUGUCCACAGUAACGGACGUUCAGACUUAUAUCUUGAUCUUAUACAACUACAAAUGGAUACUUGAGGUAUGUGGCUCCGAGAUUGCUUUCCCGCAGGGAGUCAGGGAAGGAUCUCUGGGCAUUAAUGUUACAACAUGUUUGUUAAUUAAACUGCUAUUCUUUACUCUCCUACAUGCUGCAAGAUGCUCGGAGCUGCUUGAAGACGCUAGUCUUCGUUAGGCUAGGCCUUCCCCUCUAUUCUGGCAUUCUGCAGUUCAGUCCACAGAUACAAACCUUCCAUUUUGAUACCAAUGCAUACUUAGUAUAGAUCUGAUAUCGAUGUUUGCGAGUAUUUUGGAUGAGUACUCACCGUUGCUUUGCUACCCCUUUUCCCCCAACUUUCUUCUUUCCGGUUGAUGCAACCAGAUGGUGGAUCCUUGGAGCCAGAUGCCCCGCCGAUGGAUGCUACUACGUGGAGACCGCCGACGACCAGGAGUAGUUAGGAGGUCCCAGACAGGAGGCCUUGCCUCUUCGAUCGUGUUGCUUUUGUGUUGGCCUUCUUAAGGCAUCCUUGUUUAACUUAUGUCUGUACUCAGAUAUUGUUGCUUCCGCUGACUCUUGUGUAUCGAGCUAUGUAUUCGUGCCCUCGAGGGCCUUGGCUUGUAAUAUAAAGCUUGUAUUAUUUUGAUUUGUAUCUAGAGUUGUGUUGUGAUAUCUUCCCGUGAGUCCCUGAUCUUGAUCGUACACAUUUGCGUGUAUGAUUAGUG
This 8178-nucleotide long non-coding RNA is filed under the name Triticum aestivum (bread wheat). RNAcentral describes it as "long non-coding RNA (TAES_LNC011398)". The record is from RNAcentral. Lineage: Eukaryota; Viridiplantae; Streptophyta; Magnoliopsida; Poales; Poaceae.